UAAGGCGGCCACAGCGGCGAGGCAACACCCGUACCCAUCCCGAACACGGAAGUUAAGCUCGCCAGCGUGGCCAGUAAGUACUGGAGUGUGGCGAACCUCUGGAAACGCUGCUUCGCCGCCUCCC
Molecule: ribosomal RNA, 124 nt
Filed under: Halogeometricum sp. CBA1124
Lineage: Archaea; Methanobacteriati; Methanobacteriota; Halobacteria; Halobacteriales; Haloferacaceae
Source: RNAcentral